CACUCGAACCUCCGAGUCCGAAAUUGCUGGUACGGGGCAGGAACACCGGACAAAUCACGCACGCAACGCAAGAUGCGCCCAAACCCUCGCGCGGUCCUCCGCGCCGCCGCCGCCCUCCUCCGCCCGGCCGCAGGCGCCGCCCCCGGCGCGGCGGCCCGCCAAGCCCUACCCAAGGCGACGCGCGCGCCCGCGCUUGCGGAGUGGCCACCCCUCCCGGCGGCGGCGCUCCCGGCCAGCGGCAGCCGUCGCGCCUUCUCCUCCUCGGCGGCGGACUACGGCAAGGACGUGGACGAGGUGAACCGCAAGUUCGCGGAGGCGCGGGAGGAGAUCGAGGCGGCCAUGGAGAGCAAGGAGACGGUCUACUUCGACGAGGAGGCGUCCGUCGCGCGCGACGCCGCCAACGAGGCGCUCGCCGCAUUCGACGCGCUCCUGGCGCGCCUCCCACCCGCCGACGCCGACGCGCUCCGCCGCUCCAUGGGGCUCAAGAUGGAGCAGCUCAAGGCCGAGCUCAAGCAGCUCGAGGACUAGGCUGCCGUGAGAUGAGAAUUAUACAUUGAAUCCUGAGAACUGGGGAGUGGAACUGCAAGUUGGGACAGAAUAAGGAUGAUUGUUAUUUGGUGGUGCUACAAGGAUCAAUGGAGAUGAGGUCAAGACUAAGCUAUGCCGAGGUCCAGAUUUAAGAACAGUCAUGUUAGCCAAGUGAAGCUGGAGGUAAUCUAACCAUAUACUUUUACCAUCACGUGCACCAAUGAAGCACUGGAGGUGGUGUAGGAUCUGUGCCUAUUAGACUUGACCAGUUCAAGUGAGGAAGUGAGAAAUCGGAUCGACGAAGCACCAUUUCCUCCGCUCAAGGAAAAUCAAUGCCGAAGACUGACAACCAACAUAGAUUUAACAGUGCCAACCAGCAACUGAAGUGGAAGACUGACUGACUCAGGUGUUGGCUUUUAGCUCACCUGCCAGUCAAUAUUCUUAUUAGACCCGUGUGACAAUGGUGUUUCCAACACAAAAAGUAUGGUAUACUCAAGUACUAGCUUCAUCGGAAAAACAACUGUAACUCAUGUGUGAUCGCAGAUUCCAUGGUAACUGUUGUAGUUCCAGCUCUACAUUAGGAGCAUAGGGGCUCUCCGCGAUCGCCCUCUAAACGAUCAAAAUAAGGUAAAGCUUGAAGAUAAGUUUUGUACUCGAUUAAUUUCUCAGUCCCUCUAGUCGGGUGGGCGCCGGCCGGCCGGAUCCCCCUGAAAACUGUACGUGCGGGUCUUCCCGCAUGCGGCUCAUGCCAUUUGAGGUGGCCCAGCCCAGCAUUCAUCCGCAAAUCCUGUAGUGAAAUUGACGGAUCCGGAGAGCCGUUUCACCAACUUGGAGUGGAUAGAUCAUUUAGAGAUAGAGGGUCGCCCUGGCCCAGUUGAAGCCGGCCUUGCCAAUGACGCGGGUCUUCCAGGAGUACGCGUACCUGUAAUUGAGAGCCCACUAGAUCCAUUUUUGAUUCACCCUUUAAUUCCUCUCGCUCUCGCUCUCGGUCUCGGGUUCUAUAGUUGAUGUGAUGCGGCUCGAUUCAUCAUUGCUCUCACAAAAAAUCAAUGUUUUCGGUUCCCUUUUGACUCUAAAAUUCUCAUAGAGAAAGAUGUUCUGAUUCAGUUCUCUCUGAAAAGGAAGACGGGCCCUUAGGGACACAGUAGUACCAUUUCCAUUGUGCGAAAGGUCGUGUCUACUUUGAUUCAGUGCUAGCUCCGCAACCCAAUACACUUGUUUCCACCCACGUAUAGUGAAGAAUGACGAUUAAGAUGAUAAUGAAAACCCAAUAGAAAGUACAGGACCGAUCUAGCAUGAAAUGCGAUAGAAAUAGUAGAAAAACAGGCUGACUAAUGACACGCACGCCCUUUCCUUUAUACUAAAAAAUAUACUUAAUUAAACUGACCUUUAUACUUCAAAAAAAUAAAUGAGAUUCUUCCUUCGACUCAACCCAUACGUUUCAAUAUACAAGAUACCGCUGCGCGCCUCCUAGUAACUCUGUCACAUUUCUAGGUCUAGCCAACAUUGCAUCGGGUAACCAAGUAUGCAAUCCUAUCUGUGCAGAUUUCCCAACUGCACCAAUAAAAAGUAAAAUACAAAACAGAGUUAUGGCAUUCAAUCUCAUAUUGCAAAAAAUCCAUUCAUUUCUGGCUUAAGACGCUAAAGGGAGACUUGAGUCAUGAGUCUUGAAUAGACCAACCAAUCUCACGGUGUCACAAGUCAAUUUCUUUUCUGGACUCAAUUAAGGUAUUAGUGUUUGUUCUAUUAGACAAAAAAAGAUCGCAUUUUUUGCACUUCGUUCAAAUAAGAGUUGUACCCGUACGGAAUUAUCCUCUUUCUCAGUAUGAUCUCUAUCAUCAUCUCUAUUCCCUUUAUCAAUUUGCCUAUCCUACCUUGGUCUAUGAAUUUCUCUAUCAAUUCCAUUACCUUAUCCUUACCCAUGAGGUUCCUAUAUUUGAUCCUUAAUUGACCUAGGAGUUGUUCCCGGGCAUACUCAAAAAAUGGGUUAUUAUACACCCCAACCCCAUCCCUUGGAAAAAAAUGUAGCACCAAAGAAAGGAAAGAGCGAGAUGGUGGUUUUUGUUGUUCCCGCGAAGCGAAGAUCAUUCGCUUGGCGAAUGAAGUGGAUCAACCUCUUUUUGGCUCAGGCCAAACACUUUUUCUCGCUGGUCGAGCUUUCUACAAAAAAAAGCGAUGCGAGAGCGUAUUCUCUUAUCUAAGCUUCCUCCCUUCGCUCCCCCAUCGUAGAUGGUUCAGCCACACCCGGUGCCACGAAAUGAUUGAGAACUACGACGGGGUCGUAAUUUAGAUCUGAAUCCAUUCACACCGACACGUUAGAUACAACCAUGUAACUAUUAUCCAGUUCAUUCUGAGACCACGCAGUCCACACCGAACAGCAUACAACUGUAUGAUGACUGUAUAAUUAACUCUGUUUAGUACUGAUAUAGGGCUUGGCUCGACUUGAACCAUACCCAUAUACGCUCCAGUUAGGACUGAGCCUGCUAUUAUCUUUCCCAAUAGGCGGCUAAUUGGGGUAAAUUCAUUCUGGUGCGCUACCAGGCGCGUGCGUGCAUCCCUAACACUUUGAAUGUGUUCAUUUUAUUGAUCUGCUUCCUUCAAAGAAGAAUCAGUGUUUUCGUUCUCUUGUUAUUUCCAAGUAGGAAAGUCCUUUCGAUCCAAUCCAUUCUUUUGUGAACUAUUCAACAAUUAGUGGGUGUGUACUACAAUUCAUUCCUUACCAGACCAUAUCCUUCCUCGUUAGCUGUGUAGGCGAGUCAGUCAACAGAUGAGGGAUAAUUCAAGAGUCAGACUGUCUUCGAAAUGCUAUUCGUUUAGUCGUGUUAUAUAGUAUAUAACUUAGAUCAUAGGGAUCAAUUUCUAGUCGCGUAGCUUCAUAAUAAUUCUGCAAAGCUUCCGCAUAAUUUCCUUCGGAUUGAGCCAACAUCCGUUACGGUCGUUCAUUCUAUUCAAAAAAUCUCCGUUCCAAAACCAUACAUGAGGUUUUCAUCUCAUACGGCUCCUAUUAGUUCACGGGAGAUAAAACCCAUCUGGAUUUUUUAAUAUCUAUAAAAGUACGGCCUUAGUCGCGCAUUGGUGUGAGCGAGGCGCCAGAAGGUGCUUUCUCAUAGAAUCAUUUCAUUGGGAAAGAAAGUCUGAGCUCCCUCAAUUGUGCACUCUUCACCUGGAAAAAGCGGAAAUCGUGGAUACGUCCAAGAGAAACCUUACUAAAUUGAAGUAGGUCUGGUGCUGUUUCUGUAGAAAGAUUUGACAGGGUAAGAAAGUUAUCCGGUCGGUUGUCCGACAGUGCCGUAGUUGAAUAAGCAUUUCCUUUAUUUACUUCUAGAAGGACUCGAAGUGAGACCAGAGAGAGAAGAGUUUCCCCGCAAACCAUAGCGACUAGCUAGUCUCAAAACAAAAGAGUUCUUUUUACAGUAGCGGGGUUGGGAAAGUAAGGAAAGUCAAGCCUGAUGAUUCUGUGGGAAGGGACGGAUUUAAAAUUCCUUUUUCCUUCCUUUUUACGCCACCUCCACCCAAUCCUUGAAGAUACGAAGCAAUCUUAUAUAAAGACUAAGUGAACGUUGGUAUGGCCCAAUCCCAUCAUUUAAAUGAGAGUGGAUCGAGGGAAUAGAAUCUAGACUAUAGAUUGUUUUUUUUCUAGACUAUCAAUUCAAUCUAUUCAUCUCAUCUUCCAUUUUAGAAAGUAGCAAGCAGCGAAGGCUGCAGCAAGAAGUUUCGCACUCUAACUCGAAACGGAUUUCGCGCAUUGAAAGUGUCAUCCCUUGCUUUGUUUUAACCGCCCUUCCUUUAAGUAAAAAUAUUCAAAACUCUUCCUAGAAUUCGCUUUUCUAUUUAGUACCGAAUAGGAUAAGAAGGGCUUCAUUGCCCCCAGUAUUCCCGCAUGUAGCUUUGAAAAGGGUGAGGUGUUGUUCAGGGUUCCCUACUAUUCCACCACUGUAGACACUUCUUAUCUUGGUUACUCACUGGGUGGAACUCUGUAAACUGCUUUCCAGGCGGACCUCUCCAGUCAUGUUCAAAGAGGUCAACUAUGCAGAAAAGUGUUUUCUUUUUUUACAAUAUGUUACUUUGUGAUAGAUAGAUGUACUCGUCCCCGGGUGCCCAAUAAAUAAGUUCACCUGCUCCCACCUUAGUGAGAUAAUAAUUGGGUGAGGGGUUCGUUGAAAUUCUCGUAAAGAGAGAGUGAGUGUUGUUUUCUAAAACUGGAUAUUUUAUAGACAUUUUCAGUGCAUCUAGAUUAGAAGCCUGCGUGCGGGCUCGGGAUGAGUGCUCUGGCAACCCCGUAUGAGUAUACUGGUCAGAGGGGGGAUCUACCCUCCUUUUAGGGAUAAAGCUAUCAAUGGUGAAUUGAGCUUUCGCUAUCCUUUUUUUUAAGAGCUUUUUUGAAUUUGAAUGGAAGAAAAGUAAUGAAACCUGCGAUGGCUACUGAAUAACCUCCUUUGAUUUUCUUAAUUUUAAACCCUUUUACCUUUUUCUUCGUUCGCCAAAUCUUCUUCAGUUCUAUCCAAGCUCGGUUUUGUCUGAAUCUUUGUGGAAGAAGAAGCGGUUCGCCAGUCGCUACAUCCAGGGAUCCCACAAAAUCAUUAAACCUGGCGGCUGCUCGCUCUUUGAUCAGUGAUUCACCGGCCACUAGAUCGAUGAAGAAUCUCUCAAAAAUCCGCUUUUUGAUCAGUGAUUCACCAGCCACUACAUUCUUGGAUCCCACAUUAUUCUCAAACCUAGUGGCUCGCUUGAUUGGCAGUCCUGUAAGCUCAUCUUGCAUACAAAUUUUGGGGGUACCAAGGCCUGCAUCCAC
Molecule: RNA transcript, 5320 nt
Organism: Panicum virgatum (switchgrass)
Lineage: Eukaryota; Viridiplantae; Streptophyta; Magnoliopsida; Poales; Poaceae
Exons: 3
Source: RefSeq, a predicted model, not a curated record